Molecule: ribosomal RNA, 374 nt
Filed under: uncultured prokaryote
Description: bacterial SSU rRNA
Rfam family: Bacterial small subunit ribosomal RNA
Source: RNAcentral
UACGUAGGGUGCGAGCGUUAAUCGGAAUUACUGGGCGUAAAGCGUGCGCAGGCGGUUUUGUAAGACAGAUGUGAAAUCCCCGGGCUUAACCUGGGAACUGCAUUUGUGACUGCAAGGCUAGAGUACGGCAGAGGGGGGUAGAAUUCCACGUGUAGCAGUGAAAUGCGUAGAUAUGUGGAGGAAUACCGAUGGCGAAGGCAGCCCCCUGGGUCGAUACUGACGCUCAUGCACGAAAGCGUGGGGAGCAAACAGGAUUAGAUACCCUGGUAGUCCACGCCCUAAACGAUGUCAACUAGGUGUUGGGGGAGGAGACUUCCUUAGUACCGUAGCUAACGCGUGAAGUUGACCGCCUGGGGAGUACGGUCGCAAGAUUA